This is a microRNA precursor of Bos indicus x Bos taurus (hybrid cattle), 98 nucleotides long. The record is from Ensembl. NCBI's taxonomy places the organism in Eukaryota, Metazoa, Chordata, Mammalia, Artiodactyla, Bovidae.
GCCAGGUACGUGGAUGCUGAAGGUCAGAGGGAAGUGCUUCUGUCUGCACAUGUGUUCUCCAGUCCUCUGACCUUCCUGCAUCCCGUUCAUCUCUAGGA